RNAcentral lists this ribosomal RNA (487 nucleotides) under uncultured bacterium. RNAcentral describes it as "bacterial SSU rRNA". It matches the Rfam family "Bacterial small subunit ribosomal RNA", at positions 353 to 850 of the family's 1533-position model. The record is from RNAcentral.
AGUGGGGAAUAUUGCGCAAUGGGCGAAAGCCUGACGCAGCAACGCCGCGUGCGGGAUGACGGCCUUCGGGUUGUAAACCGCUUUCAGCAGGGACGAAGGGUUUCUGACGGUACCUGCAGAAGAAGCACCGGCUAACUACGUGCCAGCAGCCGCGGUGAUACGUAGGGUGCGAGCGUUGUCCGGAAUUAUUGGGCGUAAAGAGCUUGUAGGCGGUCCGUUGCGUCGGAAGUGAAAACUCGGGGCUUAACCCCGAGCCUGCUUUCGAUACGGGCGGACUUGAGGGAUGUAGGGGAGAACGGAAUUCCUGGUGGAGCGGUGGAAUGCGCAGAUAUCAGGAGGAACACCAGUGGCGAAGGCGGUUCUCUGGACAUUUCCUGACGCUGAGAAGCGAAAGCGUGGGGAGCAAACAGGCUUAGAUACCCUGGUAGUCCACGCCGUAAACGGUGGGCACUAGGUGUGGGACCCAUUCCACGGGUUCCGUGCCGUA